AUUGAACGCUGGCGGAAUGCUUUACACAUGCAAGUCGAACGGCAGCACGGACUUCGGUCUGGUGGCGAGUGGCGAACGGGUGAGUAUGUAUCGGAACGUGCCCAGUCGUGGGGGAUAACGUAGUGAAAAUUACGCUAAUACCGCAUACGAUCGAUGGAUGAAAGCGGGGGAUCGCAAGACCUCGCGCGAUCGGAGCGGCCGAUAUCAGAUUAGGUAGUUGGUGGGGUAAAGGCCCACCAAGCCAACGAUCUGUAGCUGGUCUGAGAGGACGACCAGCCACACUGGAACUGAGACACGGUCCAGACUCCUACGGGAGGCAGCAGUGGGGAAUUUUGGACAAUGGGCGAAAGCCUGAUCCAGCCAUUCCGCGUGCAGGAUGAAGGCCCUCGGGUUGUAAACUGCUUUUGUACAGAACGAAAAGGUUUCUACUAAUACUAGGAGCUCAUGACGGUACUGUAAGAAUAAGCACCGGCUAACUACGUGCCAGCCGCCGCAGUAA
RNAcentral lists this ribosomal RNA (499 nucleotides) under uncultured bacterium. RNAcentral's name for it is "partial 16S ribosomal RNA". It matches the Rfam family "Bacterial small subunit ribosomal RNA", at positions 30 to 523 of the family's 1533-position model. The record is from RNAcentral.